RNAcentral lists this unclassified non-coding RNA (439 nucleotides) under Hevea brasiliensis (rubber tree). The record is from RNAcentral. Lineage: Eukaryota; Viridiplantae; Streptophyta; Magnoliopsida; Malpighiales; Euphorbiaceae.
AUAGCAUCUUUGCUGUAGACUGCUCACACGAAUUCCGAUAUGCUAGAACUUUCUGAAAUUCUAAACUUUUUUUAAGUGCCUGUGGUGAAUUUACACGUAUUUUAUCCACCACAACCAAAGUCAAAUUCAUCAGAACUAGUUAGUCUAGGAAAACAGGUGGUAUAUAAUAAAUUUUCAAGAGAUGAUGCAUAGGAACAAAAACGUAGUACACACACUAGAGUGGAAAACUAAUAAAUCUUAUCUCGGCCCUAGAGAGCGAGAAUUUCAUGUCAAUACGUGGAAGGAUGUCAUACAGCAUACAGCUCUCAAUCGGCCGCAUUCUGCAGAGCUGCAGACAAGGUCUCUAGCCCCAUCGUUACUCAAUCCUUCAACCUACAUUUGGGCCGAAGGACUCCACCCCCUGCUCCCCCAUCUUUUGUACAUCCCCUGGAGAAAGUAU